ACGGGAGGCAGCAGUGGGGAAUAUUGGGCAAUGGGCGAAAGCCUGACCCAGCAACGCCGCGUGAAGGAAGAAGGUCUUCGGAUUGUAAACUUCUUUUAUGUAGGACGAAGAAAGUGACGGUACUACAUGAAUAAGCCACGGCUAACUACGUGCCAGCAGCCGCGGUAAUACGUAGGUGGCAAGCGUUAUCCGGAUUUACUGGGUGUAAAGGGCGCGUAGGCGGGAUGGCAAGUCAGAUGUGAAAUCCAUGGGCUCAACCCAUGAACUGCAUUUGAAACUGUCGUUCUUGAGUGUCGGAGAGGUAGAUGGAAUUCCUAGUGUAGCGGUGAAAUGCGUAGAUAUUAGGAGGAACACCAGUGGCGAAGGCGAUCUACUGGACGAUAACUGACGCUGAGGCGCGAAAGCGUGGGGAGCAAACAGGAUUAGAUACCCUGGUA
RNAcentral lists this ribosomal RNA (437 nucleotides) under uncultured Oscillospiraceae bacterium. RNAcentral describes it as "bacterial SSU rRNA". It matches the Rfam family "Bacterial small subunit ribosomal RNA", at positions 341 to 792 of the family's 1533-position model. Lineage: Bacteria; Bacillati; Bacillota; Clostridia; Eubacteriales; Oscillospiraceae. The record is from RNAcentral.